This 872-nucleotide ribosomal RNA is filed under the name uncultured bacterium. RNAcentral describes it as "bacterial SSU rRNA". It matches the Rfam family "Bacterial small subunit ribosomal RNA", at positions 17 to 898 of the family's 1533-position model. The record is from RNAcentral.
UUCUGGCUCAGGAUGAACGCUGCGGGCGUGCCUAAUACAUGCAAGUCGAACGAGGUGCUUUUGUAGCAAUACGAGAGUAUCCUAGUGGCGAACGGGUGAGUAACGCGUUGGUGACCUACCCCAAAGUGUGGGAUAACAGUCCGAAAGGAUUGCUAAUACCGCAUGUGGUCAUUGGAUUUAGAAACUGAUGACUAAAGGAGCAAUUCGCUUUGGGAGGGACCUGCGUCCCAUCAGCUAGUUGGUGAGGUAACGGCUCACCAAGGCGACGACGGGUAGGGGACCUGAGAGGGUGGCCCCCCACAAUGGAACUGAAACACGGUCCAUACACCUACGGGUGGCAGCAGUAGGGAAUAUUGCACAAUGGGCGAAAGCCUGAUGCAGCAACGCCGCGUGUGUGAUGAAGGCCUUCGGGUCGUAAAGCACUUUUCUGGGAGAUGAGAAAGGACAGUAUCCCAGGAAUAAGUCUCGGCUAACUACGUGCCAGCAGCCGCGGUAAAACGUAGGAGGCAAGCGUUAUCCGGAUUCACUGGGCGUAAAGCGCGUGCAGGUGGUGUGGUAAGUUAGGCGUGAAAUCUCCCGGCUCAACUGGGAGAGGUCGUCUAAUACUACCGUACUAGAGAGCAGAAGAGGAAGAUGGAAUUCCCGGUGUAGUGGUGAAAUGCGUAGAUAUCGGGAGGAACACCAGUGGCGAAGGCGAUCUUCUGGUCUGUUUCUGACACUCAGACGCGACAGCUAGGGUAGUAAACGGGAUUAGAGACCCCGGUAAUCCUAGCCGUAAACGAUGUGAACUUGGCGUUGGUGGGUUAAACUCCAUCAGUGCCGUAGCAAACGCGAUAAGUUCACCGCCUGGGGACUACGGCCGCAAAGUUAAA